CCGCAGAGUUUGAUCAUGGCUCAGGACGAACGCUGGCGGCGUGCCUAAUACAUGCAAGUCGAGCGGACAGAUGGGAGCUUGCUCCCUGAUGUUAGCGGCGGACGGGUGAGUAACACGUGGGUAACCUGCCUGUAAGACUGGGAUAACUCCGGGAAACCGGGGCUAAUACCGGAUGGUUGUUUGAACCGCAUGGUUCAGACAUAAAAGGUGGCUUCGGCUAYCACUUACAGAUGGACCCGCGGCGCAUUAGCUAGUUGGUGAGGUAACGGCUCACCAAGGCGACGAUGCGUAGCCGACCUGAGAGGGUGAUCGGCCACACUGGGACUGAGACACGGCCCAGACUCCUACGGGAGGCAGCAGUAGGGAAUCUUCCGCAAUGGACGAAAGUCUGACGGAGCAACGCCGCGUGAGUGAUGAAGGUUUUCGGAUCGUAAAGCUCUGUUGUUAGGGAAGAACAAGUGCCGUUCRAAUAGGGCGGCACCUUGACGGUACCUAACCAGAAAGCCACGGCUAACUACGUGCCAGCAGCCGCGGUAAUACGUAGGUGGCAAGCGUUGUCCGGAAUUAUUGGGCGUAAAGGGCUCGCAGGCGGUUUCUUAAGUCUGAUGUGAAAGCCCCCGGCUCAACCGGGGAGGGUCAUUGGAAACUGGGGAACUUGAGUGCAGAAGAGGAGAGUGGAAUUCCACGUGUAGCGGUGAAAUGCGUAGAGAUGUGGAGGAACACCAGUGGCGAAGGCGACUCUCUGGUCUGUAACUGACGCUGAGGAGCGAAAGCGUGGGGAGCGAACAGGAUUAGAUACCCUGGUAGUCCACGCCGUAAACGAUGAGUGCUAAGUGUUAGGGGGUUUCCGCCCCUUAGUGCUGCAGCUAACGCAUAAGCAYUCCGCC
This 887-nucleotide ribosomal RNA is filed under the name Bacillus velezensis. Its description in RNAcentral is "bacterial SSU rRNA". Lineage: Bacteria; Bacillati; Bacillota; Bacilli; Caryophanales; Bacillaceae. The record is from RNAcentral.